UACAUUCUGAGAUGUUCGAGGGCUCAUUAUUUUGAACCAACACAUUAGAUAUGGGAACUCUAUAUCUUAUGACAGAUGCCAGGCCAUACUUUGAUCUCUGGAAGGCAGAAGUGAUAAUGCGAGUACCCACCCGGUUACAUACUGGGGUCAAAAUUUGAGAACGGCAUUUUGGAUAUAA
Molecule: non-coding RNA, 178 nt
Filed under: Clostridiales bacterium COT073_COT-073
Lineage: Bacteria; Bacillati; Bacillota; Clostridia; Eubacteriales
Description: 6S RNA
Rfam family: 6S / SsrS RNA
About the family: E. coli 6S RNA was the first non coding RNA to be sequenced, but its function was unknown until recently. It consists of 184 nucleotides that fold into an extended hairpin structure with a large single-stranded internal bulge.
Source: RNAcentral